This 261-nucleotide ribosomal RNA is filed under the name uncultured archaeon. Its description in RNAcentral is "partial 16S ribosomal RNA". It matches the Rfam family "Archaeal small subunit ribosomal RNA", at positions 748 to 1009 of the family's 1478-position model. The record is from RNAcentral.
CAGCCGUAAACAAUGUGCGUUAGGUGUGUCGGUAACCACGUGUUACUGAUGCGCCGAAGAGAAAUCGUGAAACGCACCACCUGGGAAGUACGGUCGCAAGGCUGAAACUUAAAGGAAUUGGCGGGGGAGCACCACAACAGGUGGAGCCUGCGGUUUAAUUGGAUUCAACGCCGGACAUCUCACCGGAUAAGACAGCUGAAUGAUUGCCGGGCUGAAGACCCUGCAUGACUAGCUGAGAGGUGGUGCAUGGCGUAGACGUCU